GCUUACGUAGCUUAACUAAAGCAUGCCGCUGAAGAUGGCAAGAUGGUCCUGAGAUUGGCCCCGAAAGCA
This 69-nucleotide transfer RNA is filed under the name Oedalechilus labiosus (hornlip mullet). Its description in RNAcentral is "tRNA-Phe". The record is from RNAcentral. Lineage: Eukaryota; Metazoa; Chordata; Actinopteri; Mugiliformes; Mugilidae.